Molecule: small RNA, 29 nt
Filed under: Bombyx mori (domestic silkworm)
Lineage: Eukaryota; Metazoa; Arthropoda; Insecta; Lepidoptera; Bombycidae
Description: ovarian small RNA-28450
Source: RNAcentral
UCGAUAUUAUAUAUUGGCUCUACAACAUU